RNAcentral lists this long non-coding RNA (2954 nucleotides) under Solanum lycopersicum (tomato). Its description in RNAcentral is "long non-coding RNA (SLYC_LNC000671)". Lineage: Eukaryota; Viridiplantae; Streptophyta; Magnoliopsida; Solanales; Solanaceae. The record is from RNAcentral.
GAAAACUUGAACUUUUGUUUAAUUAAAUUUUAAUUUGGAAAACAUUGAUCUCACAUAAUACUAUCUAGGUACACUCAUAAGCAUUCACAACAACCAUCUAACUCAAGAUAAUCACAUGAAACAUAUAGUCAUGAAUAUAGUGUUGCCAAAAUUGCACCAAUACAACGUCUGAAAGUAAAUACAAAAGAAACGCUAGUUGAACAUACUCCACUAGCUCAUGCCUAGUCUAUUGCAUCCGGGUAACUUCUGCGUCGAUUUGUAAGAUCUAACGUCCAGCUGCACCUGCACCUAAAAGUAGAUAAAUGUAUGGAAUUAGUACAGAGUUGUACUAGGUAUGUGUAUAUGCAAGCACACACCACGGACAUGAAUGAUUUAGAAUAUCUCUCUCCUAAAAAUAUGAGUUAUAGAAAGUCAAGUAAAUGGACUUGCCAAAAUCGGACUAGGAAAGUCAUGCCAUGAGAGUAACAUGCAUAACCAUGCGUAUCAUAUUUUACACAACACAUAAUAUAUAGCAUAUAGAACUUAACAUAUUGCAUAUAGCACAUAUCAUAUUUCAAUUAAUUAGUUCAUAUGUCAUGAGACCUUGGAAUUAUGGACUUAAUAUUCAGACUUCCCAAAAUGAGGGCUCAACAAAUGGGACCUCAACUAGGGAGCCUUCUCUAGCAAACACUGAGUCCCUUUCAUUCAUUCAUAUAUUCGUAGGCUGGUGUGAACACCAGCUAUACCUGGGAUGGUUUUUAAUACUCUCUUCGGGUUCACUGUGCAUUGAACAAGAAUGGCGUAGUGUCAUUACAUGAGUCUAGUUCACCUCUUGAUUAUCCUAUAUAAAAUCCUUUGGUAUCAUUCAUUUCAUUUCUUUCAUACUUUGAGGAAGUUCAAUUUUAACCGACAUAGAUCAUGUGAGAAUCAUAAAAUUUGAUGUCUUCCUUACACCCAAAGGAGGUGGAGUCAAUGGCCAAGGUGAAACAAAGAACAUACGUAGCUUGCUUAGGUGGAAACUACUGGCUAGUUCCUAUGUUGUAAGCAUAGUUCAAAGACUAGGAGAUUUAGGGAGACCCAUACCCGUCUGAACGGACAGUCUCAUCUCAUGAGAAUUAUACGAACCUCUGCCUUCCCGAAAGAAGGAAUUGCAACUCAUAUCUAACCUAUCGGUGCUCAGUAUGAAGUUCUAUUACAUUCAUCUCAUACAUCAUAAAAGUUGGCUUCUAGAAUGAGGGUAUCAUAGCUCAUUAGAUGAUUUUUCAUCUCACCAUUUCGUAUAAAGUUUGAACUGUUCUUACACUUACAUGUAGAGUGUGAUUGACACUUGUAUCUUAAUAUUCAAUACUCCCUUAGGUGAGUACUUUUGGUGACCUUAUAUAGGCGUAGGUAGAGAUUGUCUCACAUGCACUAGCCACAUAUUAUGGUGUCACCCUGUUCUUUAUUAACAUAUUAUUGUUUCAUCUUAACUCACCUUUCAUUAUUUGUUCAUCGUAUAACAUAGAUAUGCUUUCUUGGAGUUUACAUUGAGGGACAUCAAUUCUAGGCGUACUUACCGCUUUUCUCACUUUGACUAGCCAAUGCUCAUCUAGCCACUCUGUUUUGCUUAUUAAUCUUUUAGUAUAAAUAUACUCCCGUAGAAAUUUCAUUUAGUGAACUGAUUUUUAGGGGUAGAUCCAGAUUGUCUUAAACAUUUCGGCCUGGGGAACCCAAGAUCAAAUACCCAGGCCCACAUCCUUUUCUUUUUCUCUCAUUACUUGAUUCCUUCGUUUAAACUAAGAGGGUGUGGGAUCGAACCCCCAAAGCCCCAUUUUAGUUUUAUCCUUAAUUCUCUUCAUUCAGCCUAGAGGUUGUGGGUUCGAUACCCACAUACCUCAUUUCAUUAUUUUUUUAUUUCAUUUUUCUCCUCUCUCCUUCACCCAUCCAAGAGGUUGUGGGUUCGAACUCCACACGCCUCACUUCUUUUUCUUUCAUUUUUCUCCUAACUUUUCACUUGAGAUUUCCCCCUUCUGAAUCCCCCUCACCUCUUUUUAUUAUUUCAUUUUUUAUUACUUGUAUAUGGUGAGGUUUUGGGUUCAAUCCCCACUUACCUCAUGCAUUUUUUAAAAAUAAUAAAACAAAAAUUUUUAACACUAAGCUGCCGAAACAAAUUUCCAGAAUGCUUGAAAUUUGUUUACCUUUUCGCAAUCAAUUUUCUCAACAUUUAUAUUUUACAUUUAGAACAAUUUUCAUGUAGAAUCUAGUACAUCUUUAGGUGAGUUUUCAUGGUUAAUUUUGGUAAUUUGAUCACCUUUUUGCAGUUCAUUUUCUCACCCUCUUUCACGUUAAACGUCAAGACAUUUCGAGUAGUUUUUAGGGAGAUCUUUAGUUGCAUUUUCAAGGUUAUUUUCAGUCAAGAAUUAUCAUUCAAUUCAGCAACUUUGACCUCAUAUGAACGUCACAUUUUUAACAUAUUCAUACACAUAAAAUACAACAAUUUAACAUGUCAAAUUUUAUGCUUCAAGUCAAGACGAAAAGCUCAGUACACACGUGCAAGCACAAGUUAGCAUAUCACACAUUUUCGGAAUUACUUCUUUCAUUUCUACAUAAUUCUGCACACAUUCAAUCACAUAAUAACAACCAGCCCUAAAAAAAACUACCAAAAGUCAUACACACACAUACUUAAAUCUUUCAAAAGAUCUAAUGACAGGGGCAUGCAACGGGGACAACCUUAGUUUUUGAUUGUGAGUAGUCUUAACCUUAGGGGUUUCAUGGGAAAGGGACCAAGAGGGAAUAGAACCCAUACCUGAAGUCGAUCAACGAUGUUCUUAUGUGCUGCAAAAAUCCCCACUUAACGAACGUCUCACCACCAAAAUCAGAAGCACAAUCCGCCGUGAAAUUAAUUUUCACAUUUUGUUUAUAAACUUAUUUUACUUUUGAUUUUGAGGGUAUCAAGUUCUUAAAUGUAGAUGAACUUUGUCAUAUUUUUGUUCUGU